Molecule: unclassified non-coding RNA, 140 nt
Filed under: Salmonella enterica subsp. enterica serovar Typhisuis
Lineage: Bacteria; Pseudomonadati; Pseudomonadota; Gammaproteobacteria; Enterobacterales; Enterobacteriaceae
Also listed under: 1 other name
Description: yybP-ykoY
Source: RNAcentral
GUUACGCGCAAAGGGGAGUAACUUCAUUGCCGGUCGAUCGUCAUUACGAUGUGUGCAAAACCACAUCCGGUCACCGGGCAGCCAUAAAGGAAUGCGUCAGCGUAUUCCUUUAUUGUUGUAAGUGAGACCUUGCCGAAUGG